This is an RNA transcript of Nelumbo nucifera (sacred lotus), 5905 nucleotides long. RefSeq lists it as uncharacterized. Lineage: Eukaryota; Viridiplantae; Streptophyta; Magnoliopsida; Proteales; Nelumbonaceae. The record is from RefSeq and is a predicted model, not a curated record.
AGCACGUAAGAGAUAACGUUUAUCGCAAUUCUCCGUUAGGGUAAUACAACGGACGCCGUCAUCCAAUAAGAAUGGAAUCGAUCGACCUCUAUUUGCUUCACAAGAACUCCGUUGCUGUUGUUCAUUAGAGCACCUGCUCUGAAUCCCGAAUUGCCUGAUUCCUGAAUCCUGAUAACUAUUCUAACAGUAAGAAAACCCUAGACCGUUCUCCUCCGUCGGCGUCUCCGGCUUAGGGUUUAAGCUUUUGGAUUAAACAAUUUUUAUCAGUUGCAGCAGAGUUUCAGGGGACUCUGGGUCAACAUGGGAUUUGACAACGAGUGUAUACUGAAUAUUCAAUCACUUGCUGGUGAAUAUUUCUGCCCUGUUUGUCGUCUGCUAGUCUACCCAAAUGAAGCGAUACAAUCACAAUGCACACAUUUAUACUGUAAACCCUGCUUAACCUACAUAGUAAGCACUACACGAGCCUGCCCCUAUGAUGGCUAUUUGGUAACGGAAGUGGAUUCCAAGCCUCUGAUUGAAUCAAAUAAAGCACUAGCUGAAACCAUAGGCAAAAUAGCUGUUCACUGCCUUUAUCAUAGAAGUGGAUGUACCUGGCAGGGUGCAUUGUCAGAAUGCACAUCUCAUUGUGCUGGAUGUGCCUAUGGCAAUUCACCUGUUGUAUGCAACAGGUGCGGGACCCAAAUCGUGCAUCGCCAAGUACAGGAACAUGCACAGAACUGCCCGGGUGUGCAGCUUCAAGUACAGCAGGCAGAGGGUUCUCAGGAUGCAUCGACAGCUCCAGUUACAACAUCUGCAGCUGAGCAGAAUCAAGCUGUUCCUCAAACAGGGCUGCCAGCUUCUCAAGGUCAGCCCACACAGACUACUGUAGCUCUGUCUUCAGGACAGGAACAAAGUCAAGCAAGUACAAAUGCUCAAUCUCAAGUUGUAAAUCAGACUAUUCCAACUCCUGAACAAUGGUAUCAGCAACAACAACAAUAUCAACAAUACUAUCAGCAGUAUCCUGGAUAUGACCCUUAUCAACAACACUAUCACCAGUAUGAUCCUUAUCAACAAGCUCACCAUCAAUAUCAACAACAGCAUCCUCUGCAUGCACAGGGUCAGCAUCAAUCUCAGGUUUACAUGCAACCCCAACUCCAACCACAUCCUCAUCCUCAGCCCCAGCCCCAGCCCCAACUUCAGCCACAACCUCAGCCCCAGCCCCAGCCCCAGUCCCAACCUCAGCCUCACCCACAGGUCCAACCUCCAGCCCAGCCCCAACCCCAUCCUCAGCCUCUUGCACACGUGCAGGUGCCUGUGACUGUGCAACCUCAAAUGCAGUCACAGGUUAAUUCACAACAGCAGCUUCACCCCACUGCACAGUCACAUGCUCAAAUCCAGCAACAGACUCAUCCACCACCCCAGGGGCACCAACAUCCUCAGCAAUAUCCUCAACCUCAGUCUCAAACGCAACCUCAUUUGGUUCCAUCUCAUGGGCAGCAAAAUCCACAAAUACAACAUCAACAACCUCAUCACCAGAUUCAACAUCCUCAACCUCAACCUCAACCACAACCACAACCACAAUCCCAUUCUCAACCUCAUCCCCUGCCUAUCUCCCAGCACCAUCCCCAAGGUCCUGCACACCAACAGGUGCAACCACAGCCUCAGCAUCAUCCCCAUAUUCAGCCCCAGCCCCAACCACAACCUCAGCCACAAAAUCCAUUAGUCCAUUCUGUGACAGGUCACCAGUCCUAUGUGCAACCUCAGCAUCAGCAGAUGCCUCCACUUGCUCCACAACAACAUCCUGCCCAUGUGCAUGCUCAGCAGCAACCUGGUGUACCUCACCAAGUGCCUCAACAUCAUGUUCAAAUGCCAAGUCAAUUUCCUCCCCAGCAACCACAUCAUAUUCGUCCACCCCAAACUCAUGUUCAUGUGCACCAGCAACAGCCAGCCAUGCUGCUCCAACAAGGUCAACAUUCAAACUUAGUUCCUGCUCAACAGCAGCCUGUGCAUCCUCACAUCUCUCAACCAGGUCAACAGCCUGUGGUCCAUCAGCACCCAGGUUUGCAGCCACCUCAACAGAAACAACAAACUAUGCCACAACAACAGUCACAACAGUUGUAUAAUCAUUCCUCCCAAGGGCAUUUGCAGCAUUCUCAGCCUUUUCCAGGACAAACGCCUGCUUUGAUUCACAGUCAACCUCAUCAGCAAGGUGCUUUCAUGCAGCAGCAGUCCAUGCAGCCUCACUUGCGCCCUCAAGGUCAACCACCUGUUCAGCAGCUUUCUCAGAACCUGCAACACCAGACUCAGAAUAAUGCAGGAAGACCCCUGAUACCAAGUCAAGGAGGGGCACAGCAACCAUUCCUUCUUUCACCUGGUGGAGCUACAGGAGUGGGGCAGGUGAAGCCGGUACAUCCUAGUGCAAAUCAGCCUUCUCCAAAUAAAAGUUAUCCUCUAGGAACUGUCAUCCAUCCACAAUUGUCUUCUGAACAAGUUGGUUACAUACAACAACCUGUACUUGCACAAUCUGGCAGACAAAAUGCUCUAUUUCCUGUUUUGCAUGCUCAGCAGCCUGUAUCAAAUGGACAGAUUUCUACUCGAGCCACCAUGAAAUCAACCUUAUUUGAUAAGCAAGGAGUUGCUUUGACUGAGAAAAGUACACAUGAAGUCAACACUGAAACCCCUCAGGAUAUAGGUGGAAAGGAGACAAAUGUCUCAGUGGCUGUGUCUUAUGAAACUGCAGGUUCGAUUGAAUCAAAGGUGACAAAGUCUGAAAAGGAUUUGAAGCCCUUGGCUGAUGAGGGGAAGCCAAUCCAUAGUGAUGAAGAUAAAGGUAACCAGCUGGACACGACUGUCAAAGAGACUGUAGACUCCUCAGAGAGGCUGGAGGCACAGGCGAAGACCCAUGUGCCAGAAGAUGGUCCAGACGAGCCUGUAAUUAAGGAGAUGGUGAAAGAAGAGGCAGCUGAUAAGUCAUUGGAGCCAUCAUUAGGUCAUAAAGAUGAUAUAGUGGAAGACAGCGAAGAUAAAAAAAUUCAGGAUGCCUCAGUUCAUAAACAGCAAAAUGAGAUUCCUGAAAGACAAGAUGAAAAGUCACAGAAGGAUGCAAUAGAUGCUGAUAUCAGUGGUCAAGGUGUUGGUGGUGAAAGGGGGAUCUUGAAGUCUCCUCAUAUGAAUAAAGAUCCUUUGCUACAGUCUUCUCACCAAGGUCUUGCUCCAAAUCAUGGACAGAUAUUAUCUCAUACUGGUAACGAGGAAAGAGUCCUGCCCCAGGCCCAGUUUCCUAGGCAAGGUCCCAAUAUAGAUGAUUAUAGGGGCUUGCUUCCAUCUGGUCAGGUGCAGGGUAAGGGCCUUCUGCAACCUCAUCUAGGUCCAGGUCCUGAUCAACAGCUUCCUGUGCAUUAUGGGUCUCCUCAUCAGCAGCGGCUUCCUGUACCUGACCGUAUGUUACAGUCUUCAAUGCCCCCACAACAUCAAAUGCAGCCUCCAACCCAUAUGAGGCCUCAAGGACCCAUUGGACAUCUAAAUCCACAAGGGCACCUUCCAAUUCCACAAGAGCAGUUGCAGCCAUUACUGUCAAAACAGCCUCAUGGUACUUUCAAUCAUGAACUUCAGUCUGGUAGCUUUCCAGGUCCAGGACCCUCAUCUUCAUCUGGGAGGGGACCAAUUAAUUUAGGUCUUCCAAGAAGUUUGGAAGCACACCAUAUUGCUCCUCAAGUCUAUCAUAAUCUAGGCAAUACACCCCCUGCCCAUACUGGUGGCCCAAGAAUUCCUCAUGGAGAGCCUGUUAGAGGUCCACCAUUGGUUGGGCCAACUCCUGGGAUAUUUGAUUCUCAAGGAGGUGCACUGCCAAGAGGAGUACCACAUGGUAUGGAAGGUCAGCUACAUGGUGCCAAUCCCAUGCAAGCUGAAAUGCUUGCAAAUAAGAGGCCUGGAUACUUUGAUGGUAGACAACCUGACUCGCAUCUUCCCGACUCUGCAGAGAGGGUACCAUUUGGGCAGCCUUCUGGAAUACAGGGCAAUAUGAUGAAGAUCAAUGGCAUCCCAGACAAGGUUUUGUCUGGUGGGGUGCCAGAUCCGUUCUUUCCUCAUGGUUUGUCAGAGGAAAGAUUUAAGACUUUGCCAGAGGAGAGAUACAAACGCUUACCAGAGGAAGUAUUCAAUCCAUUGCCAGAGGAACGCUUCAAGCCUUUCCCAUUGGAACCUGGUAGGCACCUUAUUAAUCGAAGAGAAUUUGAAGAUGAUCUCAAACAAUUUCCAAGACCAGCUCAUCUUGAUGCUGAAUCCGUGUCGAAGUUUGAGAGAUACUUAUCCUCAAGACCUCUUGACAGGGGUUCUCAUGGUUUUGGCAUGGAUGCUUCAAGAAGAUCUCUUGAUAGAGCACCUGGAGUUGGGCGUGAUGCGGGAUCCAAACUGGAUGGCAGUGCUAGUGCUGCCUCUUUGAGGCUGUUGCCCUCUUAUCAACCUGGUGGUUCAUCAGUGCAUUCAUUGGACUUGGGUGAAAGAUUAAGGCCAGUUGGUCUCCAUGACGAUAACAUUGGGAGAAAGUCAGAUCCUGCUGGGGUUCCUUCCGAUUUCCUUAGACCUGUUUCUGAAUUUGGUCGGCAUCGUAUGGAUGGUUUGCCUCCUCUAAGAAGCCCUGGUAGAGAAUACCCUGGCAUUCCUUCAAGUAGAUUUGGGGGCACAUCACGCCUGGAUAAUAUUGAUGAGAGGGAAUCACGUGCAUUUGGUGAACGAUCUAAACCUUUUAAUCUUCCUCCAGAACCAAUUGGUAGUGCAUUUCGUGAAGGUAGGUUUUUGCGACGGGGUGAGACUGAUGGUCCUGGUAAUAUGCGAAUUGGUGAACAGAUUCUGUCUGGUGGUUUGCCUCCUCAUUUGAGGGGUGGUGAUUUGGCAGGUUCUGAUAUUCUGCCUAGCCACUUACGUAGCCGUGAGCCUCUUGUAUCUGGUGGUUUGAGUCAUUUGCGGGAUGGAGAGCAUGUAGGUCCUCGUGGAUUGCUCAGUCAUCUACGUAUGGGUGAGCCAGCUGGUUUUGGUGCCCUUCCUGCACAUUUACGGAUGGGUGAACUGGCAGGGACUGGGAAUUUGCCUUCACAUCUUCAUAUUGGUGAAUCAAUUGGUGGAGGUAACUUGCUAACAAAUUCACGAUGUGGUGAGCCUGGUUUUGGGGUCAACUAUCCUGUUCAAGGACAUCCAAGUGAUAGUGGAUUUUACCCUGGAGACAUAGAGUUAUUUGAUCACUCAAGAAAGAGGAAGUCUGGUAGCAUGGGUUGGUGUCGUAUAUGUAAAUUGGACUGUGAAACUGUGGAGGGUCUUGACCUUCACUCACAAACAAGAGAGCAUCAAAAGAUGGCCAUGGAUAUGGUCUUAAGCAUCAAGAAGGAUAAUGCAAAGAAACAGAAGCUAGCAUCAGAUGACCAUACCUCAGGUGAAGAUGCAAGCAAGUCCAGAAAGGUUACUUUUGAGAGUCGUGGAAACAAACAUUAGAUCUCAUAGUUACUUCAACAUGCAUCUAAUUGCCAAUGUUUGAGAAAUUGAUUGGUUGCUGACCGGAAUUCAUUUUGUUUUGUUUCUUCAGUAAUUUUGCAUCAGAUAUGAAGACAUUUAGACAUAGAAAUGGUUAGAAGUUCAGCAUGAUGGGCAUGAGUUCACUCCUUUUCUUUUCCUUCUUGGGAAAGUUCAAUUGUGUGCUGUUCAAACGUGGACUAGGGAGAGUUAGAAUUGUGACUGGCCUCUGAAUGGAUAUGAUUCCUCUUGUUCUUCAUCCUGAAAAAUAAAAUGGGCCUUCUGAAGAAAUUUGGUAUGUUCUUUAUACAUCUCUUGCCGAUGAUUGAUCUCUUUGGUCGCUCCAAGAUGUUGGUCAUUCAUGCUAGUUCUGUGAGUGAACUUGUUUUGAAUUAUGAUAUGAAUCCCUCGUUUCACGUCUCAA